GCAAUAAGUAAGAUUCUAAAAAAAACGAAAAAAAAAACGAAAACGAAAAAAAAACGACAUACUUAUUUAUUUGUUGUU
Molecule: non-coding RNA, 78 nt
Filed under: uncultured eukaryote
Lineage: Eukaryota
Source: RNAcentral